ACGCUCGACACCUACGGGAGGUAGCAGUGGGGAAUAUUGCACAAUGGGGGAAACCCGUGAUGCAGCGACGCCGCGUGAAGGAAGAAGUAUUUCGGUAUGUAAACUUCUAUCAGCAGGGAAGAAGAUGACGGUACCUGACUAAGAAGCCCCGGCUAACUACGUGCCAGUAGCCGCGGUAAUCUGAGCGGGCUGGCAAGGC
Molecule: ribosomal RNA, 199 nt
Filed under: uncultured bacterium
Lineage: Bacteria
Description: partial 16S ribosomal RNA
Rfam family: Bacterial small subunit ribosomal RNA
Source: RNAcentral